GCCUAUCAUGGGUCGAUCCCAGUUGAUAUGUACUGGAGGCAGCCUAAUGGUCAUAGUACAGUACAGUAAUGAUUACAAAGAUGAUAAGAACAAAGGUAAAGUGAUUGAAUAAAUACAAUGUACAGAUUGUCACAAGUUCUAGUAAGUGUGGUCCACUUCUAUUACGAUUUAUUCACUUGUUUUUUAUUUCUAUUGAGCUCCUAUAUCAUAUGU
RNAcentral lists this long non-coding RNA (213 nucleotides) under Capsicum annuum. Its description in RNAcentral is "long non-coding RNA (CANN_LNC013934)". Lineage: Eukaryota; Viridiplantae; Streptophyta; Magnoliopsida; Solanales; Solanaceae. The record is from RNAcentral.